UACGGCCAUAUCACGUUAAAAACACCGGUUCUCAUAUGAUCACCAGAGUUAAGCAAUGUCGAGCCUGGUCAGUACCUAGAUGGGUGGCCGCUUGGGAAUACUAAAUGCUGCAA
Molecule: non-coding RNA, 113 nt
Organism: Acanthosepion pharaonis
Lineage: Eukaryota; Metazoa; Mollusca; Cephalopoda; Sepiida; Sepiidae
Source: the annotation of a GenBank genome assembly